AACUUCCGCUUUUUGGAUUGUCUCUUCCUUAGAAUGUUAGCUCCUUGAAGACAGGAACUGUUUCUGACUUUGUAUAUGUUUCCCCAGCACAUUGCUUGGUAUACAGUAGCUGCUCCUGAUGUUCUGCUCUCAUCAAUAUCAUAGAUCAGAUAUCCCAGACAGAAGGUCAGGACAUUGAUGAGAUGAAGAAUGUCCAGAGGAAGACAGCCAAAAUGGUCAAGCAAGGGGCCCGAGUCCAUGACGUACGAAGAGCAGUUGAAGGAAUGAGGCUUGUUUAGUUUGGAUAAAAGAAACCUCAGGGAGGACGUGAGAGCUGUUUUCGAGUAUCUGAAGGGCUAUCUUGUGGAGGUGCAGAGGGAAGGACUUGGACCCAUGCAUGGAAAUGGCAAAAAGAUCAUACAAUAAAACUGGUGGUGAGAUGCAGACAAGAGAAAAGUGAAAUGUAUAGCUGGGAUCUGUUAGGAGAACAUUCCAUAUGGCUAACUAAUGACGUGUUGAAUAUACCAAGGGCAAACAUCUAGAAAAGGAGUUCCCAGGGAUUAUCAUACAAAAAGUGUUACUAGGAUAAUCUCUCAUUCAUCAUGCGAUGUCUCUACUCAAAAAUCUCCCUAUUGUCUCCCGGGUAAAAGAUCAAAAUCUAUUUCUAGCAUUUGAAGAUCUCCACAAUUCUUUUUCAUCAUACCUUUCCAGCCUUCUUGGAAGACAGACCACAACUUUGAACCCAAGAGCUUUGGGAAUAGGAAUGUCCUCAAUGCCACUGGACCUGCCUUUGAUUUAUCCCUGCUAAGUUUUUUACCUCAUCAGUGAGGUGAAAACCUUGUGGAGAAGGAGAUCACCUUCCUUAUCAUCACCAACAACAACUACCUACCAAUUGCCGCUAAAAGGUAGAGGAGCAUAAAAGCUGUAAGUGUGGCAUCUCCACCCCCCCCAGACCACCAAAGUGACUUCUAGCCCUCCCAGUCAUCAUCUGUGGAGAGGGGCCCAGUCAUGCCCACCAAUUGUCAACCAACUGCCAUCCAUAUAGCAGGCAAGUCAGCCUAGCUGAAGUAGUGGGGCACUCUUGAGAGAGAGACAGCUUGGAGCAUGAGCCAGCCAAAUCAAACCCCUCCCCCACUACCUUGACCACAAUCUCCUGUCAAAUGAGAGAUGGCCCAGUACUUUAAUCCCAGGAGCCUUUGGGAAAGUAAUGUUGCUGGACUAAUGCCUGCAGCCAUCCUGGGAAGCAACCCCUGUGGAGAUGUUGUCUGGAAACUGCUCCUUCCUGCAGGUACUACAGUCACAUUUAUGAAAAGAAAAUUCUUGCCACCCAAGUCAUUGCCACUGCCUAAUGGUUCAACAUCAGAAACUGAUGGGAUUUUAUCAGUGCAAAUGACAUUUACAAAGAGGCCUUGCCAUUUGAUUUGUGACUUCACCUGAAGAGGCGUAGGACCUUUUUCAUGCGACUUGCAGCUACAAUCUUCCCAAUGCCUCAUUUUCCCCAUCAGAAUGGGAGCAUGGUUUGUCUUUUCUGUUUGCAUCCUCAAGGCUUAGCACAGUUCUCUGCAUGUAGUAAAUGCUCAAGAAAUGCUUCAUUCGUUCAUUCUCUGUGCCUCUU
Molecule: non-coding RNA, 1594 nt
Organism: Phascolarctos cinereus (koala)
Lineage: Eukaryota; Metazoa; Chordata; Mammalia; Diprotodontia; Phascolarctidae
Source: RefSeq, a predicted model, not a curated record